UGCGGAGGGAUCAUUACACAAUAAAAUACGAAGGCCGUUCGCGGCUGGACUAUUUAUUACCCUUGUCUUUUGCGCACUUGUUGUUUCCUGGGCGGGUUCGCUCGCCACCAGGACCACAAUAUAAACCUUUUUUAUGCAGUUGCAAUCAGCGUCAGUACAACAAAUGUAAAUCAUUUACAACUUUCAACAACGGAUCUCUUGGUUCUGGCAUCGAUGAAGAACGCAGCGAAAUGCGAUACGUAGUGUGAAUUGCAGAAUUCAGUGAAUCAUCGAAUCUUUGAACGCACAUUGCGCCCUUUGGUAUUCCAAAGGGCAUGCCUGUUCGAGCGUCAUUUGUACCCUCAAGCUUUGCUUGGUGUUGGGCGUUUUUGUCCCCCCCAAAAAAGGGGACUCGCCUUAAAAGGAUUGGCAGCCGGCCUACUGGUUUCGCAGCGCAGCACAUUUUUGCGCUUGCAAUCAGCAAAAGAGGACGGCAAUCCAUCAAGACUCCUUCUCACGUUUGACCUCGGAUCACGUAGGGAUACCCUCUGAACUUAAGCAUAUCAAUAAGCGGAGGAA
This 558-nucleotide ribosomal RNA is filed under the name Bipolaris sp. P11E2. RNAcentral's name for it is "eukaryotic LSU rRNA". The stretch from base 179 to 332 matches the Rfam family "5.8S ribosomal RNA". Lineage: Eukaryota; Fungi; Ascomycota; Dothideomycetes; Pleosporales; Pleosporaceae. The record is from RNAcentral.